This 479-nucleotide ribosomal RNA is filed under the name uncultured bacterium. Its description in RNAcentral is "partial 16S ribosomal RNA". It matches the Rfam family "Bacterial small subunit ribosomal RNA", at positions 28 to 507 of the family's 1533-position model. The record is from RNAcentral.
GAUGAACGCUAGCGGGAGGCCUAACACAUGCAAGCCGAGCGGUAGAGUCUCUUCGGAGACUUGAGAGCGGCGCACGGGUGCGGAACACGUGUGCAACCUGCCUUUAUCUGGGGGAUAGCCUUUCGAAAGGAAGAUUAAUACCCCAUAAUAUACUGGAUGGGAUCAUCUGGGAUUGAAAACUCCGGUGGAUAGAGAGGGGCACGCGCAAGAUUAGAUAGUUGGUGAGGUAACGGCUCACCAAGUCAGCGAUCUUUAGGGGGCCUGAGAGGGUGAUCCCCCACACUGGUACUGAGACCCGGACCAGACUCCUACGGGCGGCAGCAGUGAGGAAUAUUGGACCAUGGAUGAGAGCCUGAUCCAGCCAUCCCGCGUGAAGGACGACGGCCCUCUGGGUUGUAACCUUCUUUUGUAUAGCGACAAACCUAGAUACGUGUAUCUAGCUGAAGGUACUAUACGAAUAAGCACCGGCUAACUCCGUG